UUGAGUGUGUUGAAUUUGAUGUUUUUCUUGUACUUUUCAAGAAAAUAUGUGUACAAGGAGAAGAGACUUGCUGAAAUGGGGAUUGAAUUGGAAGAUGAUGGGCCGGUUUGUCAUUGAAAUAUAUAAAUCACUCCAUCGACAACAACAGAGGGUCUAUCGGGAUUGAAUUGGAAGAUGAUGGACCGGUUUGUCAUUGAAAUACAUAAACCACUCCAUCGUUAACAACAGAGGGCCUAUCGGAAAUAACAUCCUCUAUCUUCAACCGCACUGGAUAUGCUAUUGCUUUAACUUUUGGCUUCUUUGAUUGAGCUUGUAAAAACUCUUUAUUAGAAGAGUUAUGUUUUGAUUAUAUGUACAAAGAAUGGGAAAGAGCUAAGAUAAUGAAAAAGUCUAGAGCUCUUUUUAUUCUUCCUUUCCUUUUUUUUUACUGUAUACAAAAUAAUAUAAAUGUAUUGCAAUGCAACACUAGGGUUUCAUACUUCUGAAACCUUUUUAUUUUACUCUAAUUUCUAUCUUAAUCA
This 521-nucleotide long non-coding RNA is filed under the name Nicotiana benthamiana. RNAcentral's name for it is "long non-coding RNA (NBEN_LNC010240)". The record is from RNAcentral. Lineage: Eukaryota; Viridiplantae; Streptophyta; Magnoliopsida; Solanales; Solanaceae.